Molecule: ribosomal RNA, 519 nt
Filed under: Prosimulium kiotoense
Lineage: Eukaryota; Metazoa; Arthropoda; Insecta; Diptera; Simuliidae
Description: partial 16S ribosomal RNA
Rfam family: Bacterial large subunit ribosomal RNA
Source: RNAcentral
GUCUUUUUGGUAUAUUAAUAUAAAGUCUGACCUGCCCACUGAUAAAUUCAUUAAAGGGCCGCAGUAUUUUGACUGUGCAAAGGUAGCAUAAUCAUUAGUCUUUUAAUUGGAGGCUGGUAUGAAUGGUUGGAUGAGAUACAUGCUGUGUCAUAUAAAAUUAAUAAUUGAAUUUAACUUUUUAGUCAAAAGGCUAAAAUAUUAUUAAAAGACGAGAAGACCCUAUAGAGCUUUAUAUAAAAAAUAUUUAAUUUAUUUAGAUUUUUUAUAUUUAAUUAUUAUUUUAUAUUUUGUUGGGGUGACAAUAAAAUUUAUAAAACUUUUAUUUUUUAUCUACAUUAAUUUAUGGUUAAAUGAUCCAGUUUUAUUGAUUAUAAAAUUAAGUUACCUUAGGGAUAACAGCGUAAUUUUUUUUGAGAGUUCUUAUCGACAAAAAAGAUUGCGACCUCGAUGUUGGAUUAAGAGUAAUUUUGGGUGUAGAAGUUCAAAUUUUAAGUCUGUUCGACUUUUAAAUUCUUACAU